Molecule: ribosomal RNA, 697 nt
Filed under: uncultured bacterium
Lineage: Bacteria
Description: bacterial SSU rRNA
Rfam family: Bacterial small subunit ribosomal RNA
Source: RNAcentral
UCGAACGAAGCGCCUGCGGCGGACCCCUCCGGGGGAAAGCCGCAGGGGACUGAGUGGCGGACGGGUGAGCAACGCGUGGGCAACCUGCCCCGUACCGGGGGACAACAGCCGGAAACGGCUGCUAAUACCGCAUAUUCCCGCGGGGCCGCAUGGCCCUGCGGGGAAAGCUCCGGCAGUACGGGAUGGGCCCGCGUCUGAUUAGCUUGUUGGCGGGGUAACGGCCCACCAAGGCUGCGAUCAGUAGCCGGCCUGAGAGGGCGGCCGGCCACAUUGGGACUGAGACACGGCCCAGACUCCUGCGGGAGGCAGCAGUGGGGGAUAUUGCACAAUGGGGGGAACCCUGAUGCAGCGACGCCGCGUGAACGAAGAAAUAUUUCGGUAUGUAAAGUUCUGUCAGCAGGGAAGAAAAUGACAGUACCUGACCAAGAAGCCCCGGCUAACUACGUGCCAGCAGCCGCGGUAAUACGUAGGGGGCGAGCGUUAUCCGGAUUCACUGGGCGUAAAGGGAGCGCAGGCGGCACGGCAAGUCCGGUGUGAAAGCCCGGGGCCCAACCCCGGGACUGCACUGGAAACUGCCGGGCUGGAGUGUCGGAGGGGCAGGCGGAAUUCCUAGUGUAGCGGUGAAAUGCGUAGAUAUUUUGAGGAACACCGGUGGCGAAGGCGGCCUGCUGGACGACGACUGACGCUGAGGCUCGAA